Molecule: long non-coding RNA, 557 nt
Organism: Austrofundulus limnaeus
Lineage: Eukaryota; Metazoa; Chordata; Actinopteri; Cyprinodontiformes; Rivulidae
Exons: 2
Source: RefSeq, a predicted model, not a curated record
UCGAGUUUAAUUUCUGCUGCUGAAACUUGAUCUUUAAUCAAGAACUUGAAUCUCAGCAUUUAACACAGCUUUUCUGCAGUGGUGAAAAAAUGCUGUGACACAAUAAUGCUUUUACAAAUACAGAUUUUAAUUGUUAUUUUUAAAUCGCUUUUCAAUAUUCAAAGUGAGCUAAAAGAAGAAAACAGUAAAACUUUUGUGUCCAGUUUAUAUUGGUACACUUGCACAGAGUCAAAGAUUACUCAGGUUUAUAUUAACAAAGGAGAUGAGAUCAAAAACACAAUCGCUGUAUAAAACAGAAACAGCUAAAGUUCUACUAAAGUCAGGUUAUAUAUUACAGAUCAAACACAUCCAAACUGAGGAGAGCAACAAAACACAAGAUACAGUAAGGUUUCUCUUAAGAAAAGAUUUCAAAGCAGACUGGUUUUAAGUUCUCCGGAUCAGAUUUGUUAAAAAAAAAAAAAAAAAAAAGGCACAAAAACUGCAAAGAUUUGAUCUUAGACACAGUUGUCAGCAAAGUUUUUUUUUUUUUUUGUGGUAUAAAUGAAACAUAUCAAAAU